Molecule: non-coding RNA, 72 nt
Organism: Phrynosoma platyrhinos (Desert horned lizard)
Lineage: Eukaryota; Metazoa; Chordata; Lepidosauria; Squamata; Phrynosomatidae
Source: the annotation of a GenBank genome assembly
GCCAGCGUGGUACAGUGGUUUAAGUGUUGGACUAAGACUCUGGAGACUAGGGUUUGAUUCCCAGCUUUGCCA